This 465-nucleotide ribosomal RNA is filed under the name uncultured bacterium. Its description in RNAcentral is "partial 16S ribosomal RNA". It matches the Rfam family "Bacterial small subunit ribosomal RNA", at positions 338 to 795 of the family's 1533-position model. The record is from RNAcentral.
CCUACGGGAGGCAGCAGUGGGGACUUUUGGACAAUGGGCGCAAGCCUGAUCCAGCUAUUCCGCGUGUGGGAUGAAGGCCCUCGGGUUGUAAACCACUUUUGUAGAGAACGAAAAGACACCUUUUAAUAAAGGGUGUUGCUGACGGUACUCUAAGAAUAAGCACCGGCUAACUACGUGCCAGCAGCCGCGGUAAUACGUAGGGUGCGAGCGUGAAGGGAAAUUAAUGGGCGAAAGGGGUGCGCAGGCGGUUGAGUAAGACAGAUGUGAAUUCCCGGAGCUUAACUCGGGAAUGGCAUAUGUGCCUGCUCGACUAGAGUGUGUCAGAGGGAGGUGGAAUGCCACGUGUAGCAGUGAAAUGCGUAGAUAUGUGGAAGAACAUCGAUGGCGAAGGCAGCCUCCUGGGACAUAACUGACGCUCAGGCACGAAAGCGUGGGGAGCAAACAGGAUUAGAUACCCCUGUAGUC